AUUGAACGCUGGCGGCAUGCCUUACACAUGCAAGUCGAACGGUAACGGGCCUUCGGGUGCCGACGAGUGGCGAACGGGUGAGUAAUGCAUCGGAACGUACCUUUCAGUGGGGGAUAACGUAGCGAAAGUUACGCUAAUACCGCAUAUUCUGUGAGCAGGAAAGCAGGGGAUCGCAAGACCUUGCGCUGAUUGAGCGGCCGAUGUCAGAUUAGCUAGUUGGUGAGGUAAAGGCUCACCAAGGCGACGAUCUGUAGCGGGUCUGAGAGGAUGAUCCGCCACACUGGAACUGAGACACGGUCCAGACUCCUACGGGAGGCAGCAGUGGGGGAAUUUUGGACAAUGGGGGGCAACCCUGAUCCAGCCAUGCCGCGUGAGUGAAGAAGGCCUUC
RNAcentral lists this ribosomal RNA (389 nucleotides) under uncultured bacterium. Its description in RNAcentral is "bacterial SSU rRNA". It matches the Rfam family "Bacterial small subunit ribosomal RNA", at positions 30 to 419 of the family's 1533-position model. The record is from RNAcentral.